UAGAUAUCUGAUUUAUUGGCAUAGAACAAGUCUGAUAUACAAUAUUGUACGGAAACUAGUGGUAUAGAUCUAGUGAUAUAGAUCAGCAGGACAAUGGGACUGGGACUUUCUGAAGGCACUGUACAAAGUAAGGGUAUUUAAAUUGUUGAAGUAUUGACGCAUAGUGACUCGAAGGAGUUCCGUUUCUGCAUUCAACUCUGUGGAUGAAGUCAUGGUGGAGUUGAGGUACAUGGCAAGGGAUGGGACAGGGACUGACUAAGGCUGGGGAUGGGACAGGGACUGACUAAGGCUGGGGAUGGGACUGACUAAGGCUGGGGAUGGGACAGGGACUGACCAAGGCAAGGGAUGGGACAGGGACUGACUAAGGCUGGGAAUGGGACAGGGACUGACUAAGGCUGGGGAUGGGACUGACUAAGGCUGGGGAUGGGACAGGGACUGACUAAGGCUGGGGAUGGGACUGACUAAGGCAAGGGAUGGGACAGGGACUGACUAAGGCUGGGGAUGGGACUGGGACUGACUAAGGCAAGGGAUGGGACAGGGACUGACUAAGGCUGGGGAUGGGACAGGGACUGACUAAGGCUGGGGAUGGGACAGGGACUGACUAAGGCUGGGGAUGGGACUGACUAAGGCUGGGGAUGGGACAGGGACUGACUAAGGCUGGGGAUGGGACAGGGUCUGACUAAGGCUGGGGAUGGGACAGGGUCUGACUAAGGCUGGGGAUGGGACAGGGUCUGACUAAGGCUGGGGAUGGGACAGGGACUGACUAAGGCUGGGGAUGGGACAGGGACUGACUAAGGCUGGGGAUGGGACAGGGACUGACUAAGGCUGGGGAUGGGACUGACUAAGGCGGGGGAUGUGACAGGGACUGACUAAGGCUGGGGAUGGGACAGGGACUGACUAAGGCUGGGGAUGGGACAGGGACUGACUAAGGCUGGGGAUGGGACAGGGACUGACUAAGGCUGGGGAUGGGACAGGGACUGACUAAGGCUGGGGAUGGGACUGACUAAGGCUGGGGAUGGGACAGGGAAUGACUAAGGCUGGGGAUGGGACAGGGACUGACUAAGGCUGGGGAUGGGACAGGGACUGACUAAGGCUGGGGAUGGGACUGACUAAGGCUGGGAGGGAGGGAAGGCUGGAUGGAUGGGAGGGAGGGAAGGCUGGAUGGAUGGGAGGGAGGGAAGGAAGGCUGGAUGGAUGGGAGGGAGGGAAGGUUGGAUGGAGAAUAAAGUAGAAUACUCUAUUACAGACAUGACAAUCAACCGCUUACAAUGGUGGAAAACCAUGUAACAAAAACAUUCAAAACUUUCAUGACUUACAAUACUUUACAAGGAACCAAUGUGCUACAGCUCUAACAAUAGAAUCACCCUGGGACUGAAGGGAUUGUCUUAAGACCAAUGUGCUACAGUUCUAACAAUAGAAUCACCCCGGGACUGAAGGGAUUGUCUUAAGACCAAUGUGCUACAGUUCUAACAAUAGAAUCACCCUGGGACUGAAGGGAUUGUCUUAAGACCAAUGUGCUACAGUUCUAACAAUAGAAUCACCCUGGGACUGAAGGGAUUGUCUUAAGACCAAUGUGCUACAGUUCUAACAAUAGAAUCACCCCGGGACUGAAGGGAUUGUCUUAAGACCAAUGUGCUACAGUUCUAACAAUAGAAUCACCCUGGGACUGAAGGGAUUGUCU
Long non-coding RNA from Oncorhynchus tshawytscha (Chinook salmon), 1681 nucleotides. Lineage: Eukaryota; Metazoa; Chordata; Actinopteri; Salmoniformes; Salmonidae. The record is from Ensembl.